RNAcentral lists this transfer RNA (68 nucleotides) under Marmota monax (woodchuck). RNAcentral describes it as "tRNA.Val". The record is from RNAcentral. Lineage: Eukaryota; Metazoa; Chordata; Mammalia; Rodentia; Sciuridae.
GGAUUGUGGCUCAGUGGCAGAGUGCUUGCCUCACACAUGUGAGGCACUGAGUUCAAUCCUCAGCACCA